UCGCCUGUUUAUCAAAAACAUGGUUUCUUGUAUAAAUAAGAAAUCUGAUCUGCCCACUGAAAGUUUUUGAAGGGCCGCAGUAUUUUGACUGUGCAAAGGUAGCAUAAUCAUUCGUCUUUUAAUUGAAGGCUGGUAUGAAUGGUUGGACGAGGCAGAUACUGUUUCAUAGUAAUUUUAGUUGAAUUUAGGUUUUAAGUAAAAAAACUUAAAUAUUAUUAAGGGACGAGAAGACCCUAUAGAGUUUAAUAUAUGAAGUAAUUAAUUUGGUUAAAGAUGAAUUUUUAAUUAUUAUGAGAUUUAUUUAAUUGGGGUGAUUGGAAAAUAAGUUUAACUUUUCUUUAAAAUUAAUUGUAUAAUUAGAAUAAAGAUCCACAUGUAGUGAUUGAAAGAUUAAAUUACCUUAGGGAUAACAGCAUAAUUUUUUUUGAGAGUUCAUAUCGAAAGAGGAGAUUGUGACCUCGAUGUUGGAUUAAGAUUAAUUUUUGGGUGUAGAUGUUCAAAGUAUUAGGUCUGUU
This 515-nucleotide ribosomal RNA is filed under the name Popa spurca. RNAcentral describes it as "partial 16S ribosomal RNA". It matches the Rfam family "Bacterial large subunit ribosomal RNA", at positions 1796 to 2581 of the family's 2925-position model. The record is from RNAcentral. Lineage: Eukaryota; Metazoa; Arthropoda; Insecta; Mantodea; Mantidae.